CGUCAGCAAAAUUUAGAAAGCGCAGAGACUUCUCUAGGCAAAUUGGAAUUGUUUGCAUUAAUUUAGAGCCAAAAAAAGUCUUAACAAGCUACUAAAAGCAAGACCAUUGAUGAGACCCUGCUUGCACAAGCACUUCCCUUUCUCAGGUGUUAGGGAAUGUCUAGAGAAGCCCACGAAAACCUUUGGAAUGCAGUGAGACAGAGAAGAAAAUAUCAUUCAUUUUUUUUUUUUCUGUAGUCUGGGCACAGUAUUUUACUCAGCGCACACACAAGGGGAAAAUAUUAGCAGCACGGCUGUUACUGGAGUUAAAGAUUAACUUGGCUAGAGAAAAUGAAAGGCAGCAAGUAUCACUGGUUAAUUGAUUUUAUUGUAACUUUAUCCAAACGCCCUACCAUAGUAAGCACCGUGUAAGCAAAUAGGAUGACUGACCACCUUUCCUGAAGAACCAGCAACACAGAAAUCAUAAACAAAGCACUAAGAGACAAACAGGUUCUCUGGGCCCCAUCCCCUCAGGAAAAAAUACGAUCUUAUCUUGGAAAUACACCAGGCUCCACAGCAAAAGAGCUGCACAAGAGCAGAGAACCCCAGGAAACCCUCAUCACAUGGAGCUGCAAAUUUCACCAGUGUUUCUCAUCUGCUUCUUCAGGGUCAGUCAGCUUCAGAAUUUAACACUGGUGAGCACCCCAACACUUCCAUGUUUGUAUCUCUAGCCCAGCUGGGUCUCAUCUGUAUUCACCUGAAGGGAGCUCACUGAACGUAAAGAGUGUCCCACCUGACCGUGUUUUGGUCCUAAAGUCAUUCCUAUUUACUUUUAUCUGAAAAUGAUCGCUCAAAGUAAAAACAGCUACACGGGCCCAACUAUAAUGACACAGACUUUCCUCCUCUCUAAAUAAAUAUGAACAGGACUAAAACUGAAUAAAAAUAACUGUUCUGUUGAAAAGUCCUGAGUGCGUACAUGUGGAAACUUCUAAGAGGCCAAUAAAUAAGACCAU
Long non-coding RNA from Gallus gallus (chicken), 992 nucleotides. The record is from Ensembl. NCBI's taxonomy places the organism in Eukaryota, Metazoa, Chordata, Aves, Galliformes, Phasianidae.